AUUGAACGCUGGCGGCAUGCUUUACACAUGCAAGUCGAACGGUAACAGGUUAAGCUGACGAGUGGCGAACGGGUGAGUAAUGCAUCGGAACGUGCCCGGUCGUGGGGGAUAACACUUCGAAAGAAGUGCUAAUACCGCAUACGAUCUAAGGAUGAAAGCGGGGGACCGUAAGGCCUCGCGCGAUCGGAGCGGCCGAUGUCAGAUUAGGUAGUUGGUGGGGUAAAGGCCUACCAAGCCGACGAUCUGUAGCUGGUCUGAGAGGACGACCAGCCACACUGGGACUGAGACACGGCCCAGACUCCUACGGGAGGCAGCAGUGGGGAAUUUUGGACAAUGGGCGCAAGCCUGAUCCAGCAAUGCCGCGUGCAGGAAGAAGGCCUUCGGGUUGUAAACUGCUUUUGUACGGAGCGAAAAGGCUCUCUCUAAUACAGGGGGCUGAUGACGGUACCGUAAGAAUAAGCACCGGCUAACUACGUGCCAGCAGCCGCCGUAA
RNAcentral lists this ribosomal RNA (493 nucleotides) under uncultured bacterium. RNAcentral describes it as "partial 16S ribosomal RNA". It matches the Rfam family "Bacterial small subunit ribosomal RNA", at positions 30 to 523 of the family's 1533-position model. The record is from RNAcentral.